Long non-coding RNA from Ruditapes philippinarum (Manila clam), 882 nucleotides. RefSeq lists it as uncharacterized. The transcript has 2 exons. Lineage: Eukaryota; Metazoa; Mollusca; Bivalvia; Venerida; Veneridae. The record is from RefSeq and is a predicted model, not a curated record.
CAGGGCUGAAAAUUAGCGGUCGCCCAGUCGCCCACGGCGACUUAAUUUGUAAUUGGGCCACCAAAAAUUUCAAAAUAGUCGUCCAGUCGGCGACUAAAAAAAUCGGCCGUAGAUUAAAUUAAUAUCUGCCAUUAAAUCAACUCAUGUGAAAAUUCAAAGGAGCAAAUUGGCUCCAAAAUUAUUAAAUUUGCUCAAGAAAAUCACGAUUGGCUCAAUCUUCCAAAAAGUAUUACUUUUGGAAUCUCCUGUCUAAAUUUAGCAUUUGCUAUUUUAAGAAUGGAAAAGUACACAUUUGGUUUUCCAUUUUCAAUUUCCGUUUUACCGCUUCUUAUCUCAAAACACAGCGACACAGUCUACUUCUUGUGGGUCAUUGACUGGUUUAUAUUUUUACCUCCCCUUCUGUAUUAAAUAUCGAUAUGAAAAAUAACACAGUCUAAUACACUGACCCUCGCCGUUUGUUUACAUCAGCUGAUAAAUAUGACACUAAUUGUAGUGAACAAUGUGUUGAAUAUGCAUUGGAAAUCGGGUCUAAAUAUUUAAUAUGAAACAAUAAGUAGCGGCAUCCCAAGAUUACUCAAGAUUAUCGCUAAUCAAAUCAGAAGUUUGGGUAUGAAAUAGCGACAAAUUAUGUUCUGCAGUUGACAACUUGACCUGUUGACGAUACAGAUAGUCUUCAAGCCAAAUCUUUGUCAUUAACCAUUAGCAAGCUGAAGCAGCACAUUGGAAUGUGUUUCUGCUGUUACUGUCAUGCCACUGACUUAACCAGGCAAAUGUCAUAGCUACUGAGCUGGAAGCUUUUAUAAUUAUCGACUGUAAAUUUUAUAAGUUUGAUGUGUUAAUGUGAUAAAAAAUGUAGGUACCAAAAUAAAAGUGGACAUUACA